This 468-nucleotide ribosomal RNA is filed under the name uncultured bacterium. RNAcentral describes it as "partial 16S ribosomal RNA". It matches the Rfam family "Bacterial small subunit ribosomal RNA", at positions 28 to 507 of the family's 1533-position model. The record is from RNAcentral.
GACGAACGCUGGCGGCGUGCUUAACACAUGCAAGUCGAACGGAAAGGCCCUGCUUUUGUGGGGUGCUCGAGUGGCGAACGGGUGAGUAACACGUGAGUAACCUGCCCUUGACUUUGGGAUAACUUCAGGAAACUGGGGCUAAUACCGGAUAGGAGCUCCUGCUGCAUGGUGGGGGUUGGAAAGUUUCGGCGGUUGGGGAUGGACUCGCGGCUUAUCAGCUUGUUGGUGGGGUAGUGGCUUACCAAGGCUUUGACGGGUAGCCGGCCUGAGAGGGUGACCGGCCACAUUGGGACUGAGAUACGGACCAGUCUCCUACGGGAGGCAACAGUGGGGAAUAUUGCACAAUGGGGGGAAGCCUGUUGCAGAAACGCCGCGUGCGGGAUAACGGCCUUCGGGUUGUAAACCGCUUUCGCCUGUGACGAAGCGUGAGUGACGGUAAUGGGUAAAGAAGCACCGGCUAACUACGUG